AGAGAAGGUUACUGAGUUGUUGAAAUUGUUGAAUCUUGGCAGAGCCAAGCUAGACUGUAUUGGUUCCUCAAUGGAUUUCAGAUAUCUCAAGAAAUCCUACUGAUUUUUUUUUGGUAGAUUAAUUAGGAAAAUUAUUCAAUUCAUUGAAUUGUACAAACUACAUUAACUCAUGUAAACAUUAAUGAGGUCAAUGAAUAUAUUUAAGCAAU
Molecule: unclassified non-coding RNA, 209 nt
Filed under: Hevea brasiliensis (rubber tree)
Lineage: Eukaryota; Viridiplantae; Streptophyta; Magnoliopsida; Malpighiales; Euphorbiaceae
Source: RNAcentral